UAAUUAUUUUCGCUUAAUUCCGAUUGGAAGCGGGGGAACCGAACGCGGAUCAGUCCGCAGGGGUGAAUCCGGCAAGCCGAUUGCGGCUUCCUGGUAGGGCGACUCUCUGGCCCGAAUCCGUCAGCUAACCCCGUCAGCGAACAAAGGAGAGAUA
This 154-nucleotide small RNA is filed under the name Paenibacillus beijingensis. RNAcentral's name for it is "c-di-AMP sequence". It matches the Rfam family "c-di-AMP riboswitch aptamer (ydaO/yuaA leader)". From Rfam's summary of the family: This family represents a conserved RNA structure found upstream of the ydaO and yuaA genes in Bacillus subtilis and related genes in other bacteria. The ydaO/yuaA element is thought to act as a genetic "off" switch for the ydaO and yuaA genes in its native state. Lineage: Bacteria; Bacillati; Bacillota; Bacilli; Caryophanales; Paenibacillaceae. The record is from Rfam by way of RNAcentral.